RNAcentral lists this ribosomal RNA (442 nucleotides) under uncultured bacterium. RNAcentral's name for it is "partial 16S ribosomal RNA". It matches the Rfam family "Bacterial small subunit ribosomal RNA", at positions 338 to 795 of the family's 1533-position model. The record is from RNAcentral.
CCUACGGGUGGCAGCAGUGGGGAAUAUUGGGCAAUGGGCGCAAGCCUGACCCAGCAAAGCCGCGUGAAGGAAGAAGGCUUUCGGGUUGUAAACUUCUUUUGUCAGGGAAGAGCAGAAGACGGUACCUGACGAAUAAGCCACGGCUAACUACGUGCCAGCAGCCGCGGUAAUACGUAGGGGGCAAGCGUUGUCCGGAUUUACUGGGUGUAAAGGGCGUGUAGCCGGGUUGACAAGUCAGAUGUGAAAGCCUGCGGCUUAACCGCAGAACUGCCUUUGAAACUGUUGAUCUUGAGUACUGGAGAGGCAGAUGGAAUUCCUAGUGUAGCGGUGAAAUGCGUAGAUAUUAGGCGGAACACCAGUGGCGAAGGCGGUCUGCUGGACAGCAACUGACGGUGAGGCGCGAAAGCGUGGGGAGCAAACAGGAUUAGAUACCCGAGUAGUC